Molecule: unclassified non-coding RNA, 332 nt
Filed under: soil metagenome
Description: partial contains 5.8S ribosomal RNA, internal transcribed spacer 2, and large subunit ribosomal RNA
Rfam family: 5.8S ribosomal RNA (bases 1-120)
Source: RNAcentral
GAUGAAGAACGCAGCAAAAUGCGAUAAGUAAUGUGAAUUGCAGAAUUCAGUGAAUCAUCGAAUCUUUGAACGCACAUUGCGCCCGCCAGUAUUCUGGCGGGCAUGCCUGUUCGAGCGUCAUUUCAACCCUCAAGCACAGCUUGGUGUUGGGACUCGCGUUAAUUCGCAUUCCCCAAAUUGAUUGGCGGUCACGUCGAGCUUCCAUAGCGUAGUAGUAAAACCCUCGUUACUGGUAAUCGUCGCGGCCACGCCGUUAAACCCCAACUUCUGAAUGUUGACCUCGGAUCAGGUAGGAAUACCCGCUGAACUUAAGCAUAUCAAUAAGCGGAGGA